CUACACAUGCAGUCGAGCGGAUGACGGGAGCUUGCUCCUUGAUUCAGCGGCGGACGGGUGAGUAAUGCCUAGGAAUCUGCCUGGUAGUGGGGGACAACGUUUCGAAAGGAACGCUAAUACCGCAUACGUCCUACGGGAGAAAGCAGGGGACCUUCGGGCCUUGCGCUAUCAGAUGAGCCUAGGUCGGAUUAGCUAGUUGGUGGGGUAAUGGCUCACCAAGGCGACGAUCCGUAACUGGUCUGAGAGGAUGAUCAGUCACACUGGAACUGAGACACGGUCCAGACUCCUACGGGAGGCAGCAGUGGGGAAUAUUGGACAAUGGGCGAAAGCCUGAUCCAGCCAUGCCGCGUGUGUGAAGAAGGUCUUCGGAUUGUAAAGCACUUUAAGUUGGGAGGAAGGGCAGUAAGUUAAUACCUUGCUGUUUUGACGUUACCGACAGAAUAAGCACCGGCUAACUCUGUGCCAGCAGCCGCGGUAAUACAGAGGGUGCAAGCGUUAAUCGGAAUUACUGGGCGUAAAGCGCGCGUAGGUGGUUUGUUAAGUUGGAUGUGAAAGCCCCGGGCUCAACCU
This 570-nucleotide ribosomal RNA is filed under the name bacterium tet-w-16. RNAcentral's name for it is "bacterial SSU rRNA". It matches the Rfam family "Bacterial small subunit ribosomal RNA", at positions 49 to 615 of the family's 1533-position model. The record is from RNAcentral.